RNAcentral lists this long non-coding RNA (561 nucleotides) under Pongo abelii (Sumatran orangutan). RNAcentral's name for it is "lincRNA". The record is from RNAcentral. Lineage: Eukaryota; Metazoa; Chordata; Mammalia; Primates; Hominidae.
AUGUUUGCCAAAGAGUGCAAAGUUUCAGUUAGAUGGUAGGAAUCAGUUCUGGUGGUUUAUUGCAAAACAUGGUGACUAUAGUUAAUGUACUAUGUAUUUCAAAACAUCUAAAAGAAAAGAUUUUAAGUGUGCUCACUACAAAGCAAUGAUAAAUAGUUGAGACGCUGAACUUUUUAAUACUUACAUUCUUAAGUUUUUCAAGGCUUUUCUAAUAAGUCUGGCAUUCCUGCCCUUGGCAGUGUGAGAUGGAAGAUGAUGUCGCAAGGGUGGCCGAGAAGCAGCUGGGCCGAGCUGUUAAAAGCACAGAGACCGGGACCAGACUCCUCAGCCUGAAAUCCUGCUACCACCAAGUGCUAGCUGGGUAAUUUCAGGUGGAGCCCGGUUGGCAGGAAAUGUUUCUCCAGAAGCUGAGAAGCUGCCUGGUAAAGGCCUUUCAUAAAAUGGUCUGUGUUUGGGACCAGGAAGACAGAAUACUCCUCAAGAAGAGAACUGGAACCUUAACCCACUUCAGACUUCUUCAUGUCUGAAGCUUAUUUCCACCAUCCCAUUGAGAACCAAAGA